AUUGAACGCUGGCGGCAUGCCUUACACAUGCAAGUCGAACGGCAGCACGGGUGCUUGCACCUGGUGGCGAGUGGCGAACGGGUGAGUAAUACAUCGGAACAUGUCCUGUAGUGGGGGAUAGCCCGGCGAAAGCCGGAUUAAUACCGCAUACGAUCUCCGGAUGAAAGCGGGGGCCCUUCGGGCCUCGCGCUAUAGGGUUGGCCGAUGGCUGAUUAGCUAGUUGGUGGGGUAAAGGCCUACCAAGGCGACGAUCAGUAGCUGGUCUGAGAGGACGACCAGCCACACUGGGACUGAGACACGGCCCAGACUCCUACGGGAGGCAGCAGUGGGGAAUUUUGGACAAUGGGCGAAAGCCUGAUCCAGCAAUGCCGCGUGUGUGAAGAAGGCCUUCGGGUUGUAAAGCACUUUUGUCCGGAAAGAAAUCCUUGGCCCUAAUACGGUCGGGGGAUGACGGUACCGGAAGAAUAAGCACCGGCUAACUACGUG
RNAcentral lists this ribosomal RNA (486 nucleotides) under uncultured bacterium. RNAcentral describes it as "partial 16S ribosomal RNA". It matches the Rfam family "Bacterial small subunit ribosomal RNA", at positions 30 to 507 of the family's 1533-position model. The record is from RNAcentral.